This 254-nucleotide ribosomal RNA is filed under the name uncultured bacterium. RNAcentral's name for it is "partial 16S ribosomal RNA". It matches the Rfam family "Bacterial small subunit ribosomal RNA", at positions 524 to 776 of the family's 1533-position model. The record is from RNAcentral.
CACGUAGGGGGCGAGCGUUGUCCGGAUUUAUUGGGCGUAAAGAGCUCGUAGGCGGCUUUGUCAGUCGGGUGUGAAACCUCCAGGCUCAACCUGGAGCCGCCACCCGAUACUGCAAUAGCUAGAGUCCGGUAGGGGAGCAUGGAACUCCUGGUGUAGCGGUGAAAUGCGCAGAUAUCAGGAAGAACACCAAUGGCGAAGGCAGCUCUCUGGGACGGUACUGACGCUGAGACGCGAAAGCGUGGGGAGCGAACAGG